AGCUCGGGCCGCAGGAAGGAGGGGGGGACGGGGUGCAGCUCGGGCCGCAGGAAGGAGCCGGCCUCGCUCUCCAGGUUUGCAGUUCGGGCUGAGGCUAAUCCGGAGGAAACUUCCCCCGAGAUGAGAAAUCUGACUGGUCUUGGUCCACCAUCCAAAACGCGCAGAGGAUGCACGGACCACCUGACAGUCCGCGGGCCUACGUUGGGUCUUGCCUUUGACUGACAGUGCCUAGGUCCCUCCCCCAGGCAGCACAUUUCAGUUUGGAAAGAAUGAGGAUCAAAAGAAGAAAGCAAAAUGAUGGGAGAAAAAACACGGAACCUCAAAAUGCAGAAAAUGAGAGUGGAAGACAAAGAGCAGGAGGCGAAUGGAGACAGGAAAGAAGGGAGAAAAUGAAAUCCGCAGGCUAAAUGAAGGAGUGCGAAGGGAAAAGAGACGAGAGGAAAAGCAGAAAGUCUGGACUGUCCAUCCAGGGGUAGUUACUAUUAUCACUUUAUUGAUGAGUUGCUUAGGGUUAUUUCAGAGUUACCAAGCUCAAUCAUGUAAUAAACAUCCUAUAAGACAUGUCAGCAGGAGGAAUUCUCCUGAAUUUCCUAGUUUGCAUCCAAACCAUGUGCCAUCCUUUUGAUUGAAUGUGAAAAAUUACGCACUGACUCAUGUUUGCUCUUUUCCAAGGCAGCCAGGGCUGUACUAGAGCCAGUUUAUACCAGCUCCUGAGAGUUAAUUUUUAAUUUUCAAGAAUUUUGUGAGCCAGUGGCAAAACAGCCAUAAUUUAAAAUUAAAUUAUAUUUACUUGCUUUUAAAUAAACUAUAUUUAAUUUUGUUUUUUAAAUGAAAGACAA
Lemur catta (Ring-tailed lemur) is the source of this 839-nucleotide long non-coding RNA. RefSeq lists it as uncharacterized. The transcript is spliced from 3 exons. The record is from RefSeq and is a predicted model, not a curated record. NCBI's taxonomy places the organism in Eukaryota, Metazoa, Chordata, Mammalia, Primates, Lemuridae.